RNAcentral lists this ribosomal RNA (468 nucleotides) under uncultured bacterium. RNAcentral's name for it is "partial 16S ribosomal RNA". It matches the Rfam family "Bacterial small subunit ribosomal RNA", at positions 28 to 507 of the family's 1533-position model. The record is from RNAcentral.
GACGAACGCUGGCGGCGUGCUUAACACAUGCAAGUCGAACGGAAAGGCCCUGCUUUUGUGGGUUGCUCGAGUGGCGAACUGGUGAGUAACACGUGAGUAACCUGCCCUUGACUUUGGGAUAACUUCAGGAAACUGGGGCUCAUACCGGAUAGGAGCUCCUGCUGCAUGGUGGGGGUUAGAAAGUUUCGGCGGUUGGGGAUGGACUCGCGGCUUAUCAGCUUGUUGGGGGGGUAGUGGCUUACCCAGGCUUUGACGGGUAGCCGGCCUGAGGGGGUGACCGGACACACUGGGCCUGGGACACGCCUCAGACCACUACGGGAGGGAGCAGUGGGGAAUAUAGCACAGUGGGCGGAAGCGUGAUGCAGAGAAGCGGCGUGCGGGAGGACGGCCUUCUGGUUGUAAACCGCUUUCGCAUGUGACGAAGCGUGAGUGACGGUAAUGGGUAAAGAAGCUCCGGCUAACUACGUG